UUUUCUUUUACUCAUCAUUUGUAUUUUUAUUUUAAAACAUUGUAUUUCUUUUUUAGUUUGUAGUCAUUCAAAUAGGUAUAUAAUGUAUCCGUUGCAAUUCUAUAUAUUAUGAUUGAAUACAUAAUUUAUAUAAUUGUGACUAAUGCAUUAUAAGGAGGGAAAUAGAAACUUAUUGGUAUUCAUUUUUUCAUUUGAAAUACAAAAUCAUACUGAAAUACAACCUGAUAUUUGAAAUACAAACUUAGUAAGACAUAUUUUGUUACUGAAAUACAACCUGAUAUUUGAUAUACUAACUCAGUAAGACAUAUUUUGUAUUUUAUUUGGCUAAAGCAAUAUAAUUUUUAUGAAUACAUAAUAUAUAAAAUUGCGACGAAUACAUCAUAAG
RNAcentral lists this long non-coding RNA (385 nucleotides) under Solanum tuberosum (potato). RNAcentral's name for it is "long non-coding RNA (STUB_LNC005138)". Lineage: Eukaryota; Viridiplantae; Streptophyta; Magnoliopsida; Solanales; Solanaceae. The record is from RNAcentral.